CCGUGGCUUUCUCGUAACUCACUGCAACUUUGAACUCUCUGGGCUCAAGCGAUUCUCCCACCUCUGUCUUCUGAAUAGCCAGACCACAGACUUUAAAACCAAUACUUACUGACUUUGAAAAAUCCAGAUACUGCCAUGCAUUGGACGAUUCUGGCUUAACUAAAAGAAAGGCGGGAAAACGUGGGGGUUCCGGUCGGAGGAAGAGGACGCAUGAGGACGGGCUCACAGGUGACCGCCGUCCUGCUUGGACAGCGCAGGAGGAGGGAGCGCCACUGCCCAGGGCACAAGAAAUGGCAGCAGCAAGGCCCGGGGCCCUGGAGCUUCUGUCUGAAAGGCAGGGAAAGGAAAACGCAACUCAGCCCCUACCCCAGGCCUCCAGAUUCAGAGUCACCCUUACACGGGAAGGAGCAGAGGACUUCAGGGAGGCGGCGGUAUGUUCCCAUCCCUCCCCGCCUCGAUCCCUUCUCUGUUAUAUAAAAGAAUCACAAGUUCAUAGUUGUCGUUUUGGGAAAUA
Non-coding RNA from Microcebus murinus (gray mouse lemur), 514 nucleotides. The record is from RefSeq and is a predicted model, not a curated record. NCBI's taxonomy places the organism in Eukaryota, Metazoa, Chordata, Mammalia, Primates, Cheirogaleidae.